This 468-nucleotide ribosomal RNA is filed under the name uncultured bacterium. Its description in RNAcentral is "partial 16S ribosomal RNA". It matches the Rfam family "Bacterial small subunit ribosomal RNA", at positions 28 to 507 of the family's 1533-position model. The record is from RNAcentral.
GACGAACGCUGGCGGCGUGCUUAACACAUGCAAGUCGAACGGAAAGGCCCUGCUUUUGUGGGGUGCUCGAGUGGCGAACGGGUGAGUAACACGUGAGUAACCUGCCCUUGACUUUGGGAUAACUUCAGGAAACUGGGGCUAAUACCGGAUAGGAUCUCCUGCUGCAUGGUGGGGGUUGGAAAGUUUCGGCGGUUGGGGCUGGACUCGCGGCUUAUCAGCUUGUUGGUGGGGUAGUUGCUUACCAAGGCUUUGACGGGUAGCCGGCCUGGGAGGGGGACCGGCCACAUUGGGACUGAGAUACGGCCCAGACUCCAACGGGAGGCAGCAGUGGGGAAUAUUGCACAAUGAGCGGAAGCCUGAUGCAGCAACGCCGCGUGCGGGAUGACGGCCUUCGGGUUGUAAACCGCUUUCGCCUGUGACGAAGCGUGAGUGACGGUAAUGGGUAAAGAAGCACCGGCUAACUACGUG